RNAcentral lists this long non-coding RNA (2994 nucleotides) under Gallus gallus (chicken). RNAcentral's name for it is "lncRNA (ENSGALG00010005702.1)". Lineage: Eukaryota; Metazoa; Chordata; Aves; Galliformes; Phasianidae. The record is from RNAcentral.
CUUUUGUGUGCUAGCUGCAGAUACACAUUCAAAUUCUGGUCAGCAAACAAGCCUAUCUAGUGCCAUUGUCAUUCCUGCAAGCCCAGUAGAAUCAGUAAAACAAUGAACUUAUCAUCCCAUUUGAUUCAAGAGCGUUUUUUCCAAGCAAUCCUUAGAUAGAAGGGAAAUGCUACGCAGCAUUUAAUGAAAUUGAAUACUUUUAACACCGGAGAGCCACUGCGGAAAGUAUCCGAGUGCUCUGCAGCAGUGGGAAAUGCCGGAGAUAAGUGGUGAGCCAGCUUAGCCGCACAGUGAUGGCAGGGCAACGCUCAGGUCCUCUGAACACCUUUACCACCAAGGAAGCUCUGAGGUUACAGCGGGUGAGGAACUGGCCCCAAAUUUAGCUAUGGAGAUCCUGCUUGCACAAGAGGGACUUGCUAACAAAACAAGGAGCCUCACAAAAAGAAAGGGGUGCGAAAAUCCUCGUUAUUGGGUCAUUGUAUUUGUCUGAUCUACCUGCAAUAAAUGACACGUGAUGCUACUGUCAGAGAUAAAAGCAAGGUGGCUUUUAAUUCAGGACAUUAAGAGAAAAUAUUAAAAACUUCUUAUCAGAGCAAUAAUUUAUGGCUAACUUCAAAUGCUCAUAAUCUGCCAUCUACAUACAUUUCUAUCAAAUGACCCUGUAAAUAAUUAAUAGAUCUAAUUCUGUCAGUGUUGCCAGGGCAGGUUUCCCUGCAGAAGGUUAAUGCAAUGAUUUAAUUCUUUAUUUAUGUGAUUAGCAGCCCCAAUCAGGCUGUUUUAAUGAGGUCGCAGGCAGCGGAUUAUCUCAGGCGACUUGCCUGGCAGGAGCCCCAAGCGCCCCGUUCUUGUGGUACGUUGUACACUUUCUGUCCAGCUGCCCCAGGGGAAACCAUUGGCAGCUACUGGGGGCAGAGCUGGGGUCCCAGCAGGGCAGCAAAUGCUAUUUACCCCUUUCCUAGUUGCCCGACUCAUAGCUGCACAGUCCACAUAAAACAUAGAAACACAGGGAUUCUUAAAGCACAUCGGCCUCAAGAUUCAUCUAUGCCUGUCCAGAAAAGGAAAGACAGGAAUAUCACUAUGAGACAUGGGAUAAUAUGUCACUAGCAGUGCCUUAGGCUCAUCUGUAAAACCUAGCGCUUGGAUUAAAUCCAAAUGGUGAUCCUCCCUAUGUCAACAAGAGAACCUGACAGUUAUUAGAUUCUUCAUGCUCAACACCCAGGAAGGAGCUGAUACAAGUGCUGCUUUCUCAAGAUCUCAUAAAUCUGCAUUUCUGUGCACACAAAAGCUUGACACACAUGAAGAAAACAGAACCAGAGUGCAUUUCUUUCAUUCCUUCAGUCAUUUUUCUUUCAGUUUUUCACCAAACCCAGUCCAACAGAGAAAAGAGAUCUCUCUGCAGGCUGUGUAUGGAAUUAGGGCCCCAGCUGCAAUAUUCAGAUUCAUUGGGCCACCUGGGAUCACUGUAACCCCACACCUAGAAAGUGGCCUCCCUCCUCGCGGUGAGGGCCAUCAAGCAACCCUCUGCUGUGGGCCACGCUGACGUCAGUGGAUUUGAUAGCAGUAAGGGAGCACCAGGAAGGCCCCACCUGCCUGGCUGGGAAAUGGCAAAGUCUUGGUGUUCCUUCACUCACAGCCUCCAUUCACACUGGCUGAGAAGGGCAGAGGAAACAACUUGGAUGUUUCUUCUCCUACCUCUACUUCUCCUCUGUCAAUGGCAUCUUUCCAUCUCUCUACUGACCUGCUUUUUGUUUGUUUUUCUGCCUUUUUUUUUUUUUUUUUAGUUAUUGAAUCUUGUUUCCCCUGCCAAACUGCCUACAGCUCCUGUUCUGUUUAUUAUACUCAGCACAGAAAGGAAUGAAAAGGAACGAAUCUUGGAAGAGAAACAAAAGCCUGCAAUAAGCUGUAUUCUCAAUUACCCUGUAGCAUGCAGACUGAGAACAAGAGGAGUUGCCACGCUGACACAUACAGCUGAAAAUUGGGUUUGCUAGGUACAGCGAUGUUAAAGGCAGCCUUUCAAUGCCUCCCUCCCAGGCUGCCACUGUGCUGUGCCCUUCGCGAGCACUCCACCACUUAUUGGCACAGGUAUAAAAGCAUCCCUUGGACAAGAGACAGCUCAGGUUUACCACCGUGGAGCUCUGGGAACCUCACAGGAAACACUUAAAAUAGGAUGUUAAACUGGUGUUUGUCUUCCGGUACCGGGACAUAAGCCAGGAGUGCACACUGGAGUGCCCCAUGACCUCCCUCUCCCCUCCUGGAAUCUUUCAGUAGGUCUGGUUUAAAGAGACAAGACGGAGAACACGGAAGACAUCAACACCUUCCAGCAAUCCAAAUAAAUAAACAUCAUUUUUGAUGUCAGUCCUUUAAUGGCUGUCCUCCUCCUUGAAUAUUAAGAAUAUCAUCACAGAACCUAGAAAGCCAGCCAGAAGAGUUGUGAUUUUUACUAAAUGGUAUUAACAAAACCAAAGCUAAAAAAGCAUGAGAAAUGGAGAGUAAUGCUGCAUUUUGUAUAGAUCUUCUAUUGUGGCGCUGCACGUUUGGUUUCAUUAAACUGUCUAAUUUCAGAAUAUAAGUGUUUCUGAACAAACUUUCUUUACCCAGUAAACUUUCAUUUUUUUCUUCACUAAAGUAAUUCAAUAAGUAAACUCAGUAAGAUUGCAGGUGACACUAAGUUGGCAGGAAGUGUCAAUCUGCCUGGGAGUAGAAGGCACUUCAGAGGGAUCUGGACAGGCUGGGCUGAGGCCAAUGGGAUGAAGUCCAACAACACCAACAGCCAGGUACUGCAUUUUGGCCACGAGAACCCCAGGCACCGCUACAGCCUUGGGGCAGAGUGGCUAGAAGACUGUGUUGGAAGAAAUGGACCUGGGGGUGUUGGUCUGUGCUCAGCUGAAUGUGUGCCCAGGUGACCCUAAGGUUGAUGGCAUCCUGGCUUCUAUCAAAAAUAGUGUUGUCAGCAGGAGCAGGGAGGUGAUUAUCUCUCUGUACUCAGCUCUUUUC